This 465-nucleotide ribosomal RNA is filed under the name uncultured bacterium. RNAcentral's name for it is "partial 16S ribosomal RNA". It matches the Rfam family "Bacterial small subunit ribosomal RNA", at positions 338 to 795 of the family's 1533-position model. The record is from RNAcentral.
CCUACGGGAUGCAGCAGUAGGGAAUCUUCCACAAUGGGCGAAAGCCUGAUGGAGCAACGCCGCGUGGGUGAAGAAGGUCUUCGGAUCGUAAAACCCUGUUGUUAGAGAAGAAAGUGCGUGAGAGUAACUGUUCACGUUUCGACGGUAUCUAACCAGACAGCCACGGCUAACUACGUCCCAGCAGCCGCGGUAAUACGUAGGUGGCAAGCGUUAUCCGGAUUUAUUGGGCGUAAAGGGAACGCAGGCGGUCUUUUAAGUCUGAUGUGAAAGCCUUCGGCUUAACCGGAGUAGUGCAUUGGAAACUGGGAGACUUGAGUGCAGAAGAGGAGAGUGGAACUCCAUGUGUAGCGGUGAAAUGCGUAGAUAUAUGGAAGAACACCAGUGGCGAAAGCGACUCUCUGGUCUGUAACUGACGCUGAGGUUCGAAAGCGUGGGUAGCAAACAGGAUUAGAUACCCCAGUAGUC